This is a non-coding RNA of Arachis ipaensis, 1593 nucleotides long. NCBI's taxonomy places the organism in Eukaryota, Viridiplantae, Streptophyta, Magnoliopsida, Fabales, Fabaceae. The record is from RefSeq and is a predicted model, not a curated record.
AUAUGUUUUUUUCCUAUGAUACUCAGUUUUAAAAGUUUGCUAGAAGAUGCUACACAAUACUUUACUAUACUUAACUCUCUUUUUGCAGGGACUUCAUGCCCGAGCCAGGGCUCAGGAGGAGGAGAUCUUCUCCCUUUGGGAACAGGUUGCUGUUGCCUGUAUGAAGGUAUGGAAUAUACAGCUUUGCUUAGCCGUGAUUGCAGUGCUCAAAGGAGGCACCAACAGGUACGGAAGUGCUCAAAGGAGGCACCAACAGGGACUUCAUGCCCGAGCCAGGGCUCAGGAGGAGGAGAUCUUCUCCCUUUGGGAACAGGUUGCUGUUGCCUGUAUGAAGAUGUUGAACGAGAAAUGCAAUCUGGAGAGGCAAUUCUCUGAGCUAAGAAAUGAGUUUGGCACAUUAACGUAGGCAAAUGCAGAGUGGGCAAAUUGAGCAGAAUGGUUGAAGGUGGCAAAUUGAGCAGAGUUGAAGGGCACAAAGUAAGUGUCUCUAAUGAAUGCUAAGCCAAGGAUGGAGAAACUAGAGCUGAUUUACUCUCCGAGGCAAGCGUUGAGUAUGAGACCAAGGAAUCUUCAUCUCUUAGAAACAUACCAGUGGUGAUUUGUUACAAAUGAAUGUGCCUUCAAGAAUUAGCAGAGAGUAUAAGUGGAGGAGAGAGUGUUCCAGCACCAAAAGCAUCUCCUGAGUCUUGGCAAGGAUUGUUAUGAUGUUCUUAGAGGAGAAUAAGAAUGCUGCUGCUUUGACAACUAAAGCUAAAGCAGGAAGUUGUCAGUUUUGAAAAGGGCUGAAAAAUCCUUGAGGAAAGAGGUUUUAUAAUGUUAGCUUUGCUUAGCCGUGAUUGCAGUGCUCAAAAGAGGCACCAACAGACUGCUGUGAUGGAACUGAUGAAAAGGAUAGCAAAGUCACAUACCCAAAUACCUGAAAAAGAAGAUUGCCAGAUAUCAAGAAGGUGUCAAGCUUUGGAAGAAAGAACUUGAAUGAGAGAAAUCUGCUCUGGCUAAGGACGAGGCUGAACUUUUAAUAUUGAAAAAAAGAAGAAAGCGCACUUAAAGAUGGUGCAACAGCUAAAAGAAAAAACAGGCCGAAAACAAUCUUUUCAUAUUGGGAUUGUCCAUGAUUUCUUUGAAAGAAGAGCUGUGAGGAUAUGGAAGCAAGCCAAGGUUCAUCUAUUGGUCAAAUUAUCUCAUCACAAUUCAAAAAUUUGGUGCAUUGCGUGUAUUAAAGGAAAAACAACGGGCAAUGGUGAAGGAGAUGAUUGACAAAUGUGUAAAAGAAAAAGGUGCCAGAAUAUGCUUCUUUGUGUGUUUUUAUAAGAGUCUAAUUGAAACUAUAUUAGCAUAAUUGCACAAAAUUUAAUUGGCAGUUUUCUUCUAUGCUUUAAGAUCGAUCAAUAAACUUUGUAUUUUUUUAUGUUAGAGUAAUAUAUUUUGUGAGAGUUUUAUAUCUUCUGUUGAGUAUUCAAAGCAAAAGAAGCAAAAAGGUUUUGAAGCGAAGAUUGGAAUUGAUGAGCCAGAAACUUUGGUGCUCACAUCUCUUUUUGCUUUUUCCUCCCUUUUUUUUGGAGUUAUAAAGCUUCCUUAAUUUCUCAUAUACUC